CAGUCGCCGCGGGAAUACGUAGGUGGCAAGCGUUAAUCGGAAUUACUGGGCGUAAAGCGUGCGCAGGCGGUUGUGUAAGACAGGUGUGAAAUCCCCGGGCUUAACCUGGGAACUGCGCUUGUGACUGCACAGCUAGAGUAUGGCAGAGGGGGGUGGAAUUCCACGUGUAGCAGUGAAAUGCGUAGAGAUGUGGAGGAACACCGAUGGCGAAGGCAGCCCCCUGGGCCAAUACUGACGCUCAUGCACGAAAGCGUGGGGAGCUAACAGAAUUAGAUUCCCGUGUAGUCCCUGUCUCUUAUAC
This 301-nucleotide ribosomal RNA is filed under the name uncultured bacterium. RNAcentral's name for it is "partial 16S ribosomal RNA". It matches the Rfam family "Bacterial small subunit ribosomal RNA", at positions 509 to 807 of the family's 1533-position model. The record is from RNAcentral.